CCUGGAUUGGAGACACGGGCAUCUGAGAAAACUAGAGGGUUCUUCACCAAAACACCUAGCUUUUGAUAAACAAUUUCUCUGGAGCCAAGCCAUAAGGGAAUCUGAGAUUAAGCAGCAUUUGGCAACAAAUCAAGAGAUGGAAGACAAUUCUGAAUCCAUUGCUAAGGAACAAGAAAGGGUGGAAAAGGAGGAAGUCCAUGUCCAAGUGAAGAACAAGGUUAAAGAACCAAAUAAAGAGAAGGAAGAGAAGGAGGAGAUGGAGCUUGAA
Molecule: long non-coding RNA, 268 nt
Organism: Vitis riparia (riverbank grape)
Lineage: Eukaryota; Viridiplantae; Streptophyta; Magnoliopsida; Vitales; Vitaceae
Exons: 2
Source: RefSeq, a predicted model, not a curated record